GUAGGUGGCAAGCGUUGUCCGGAAUUAUUGGGCGUAAAGCGCGCGCAGGCGGUCCUUUAAGUCUGAUGUGAAAGCCCACGGCUCAACCGUGGAGGGUCAUUGGAAACUGGGGGACUUGAGUACAGAAGAGGAAAGCGGAAUUCCAAGUGUAGCGGUGAAAUGCGUAGAGAUUUGGAGGAACACCAGUGGCGAAGGCGGCUUUCUGGUCUGUAACUGACGCUGAGGCGCGAAAGCGUGGGGAGCAAACAGGGAUUAGAUACCCUGGUAGUCCACGCCGUAAACGAUGAGUGCUAAGUGUUAGGGGGUUUCCCGCCCCUUAGUGCUGCAGCUAACGCAUUAAGCACUCCGCCUGGGGAGUACGGCCCGCAAGGCUG
Molecule: ribosomal RNA, 374 nt
Filed under: uncultured organism
Description: partial 16S ribosomal RNA
Rfam family: Bacterial small subunit ribosomal RNA
Source: RNAcentral